GAUUGUGGCUCAGUGGUAGAAUGUGUGUAUGGCAUGCAUAAGGCUCUGGGUUUGAUUCCCAGCACAACA
Molecule: transfer RNA, 69 nt
Filed under: Marmota monax (woodchuck)
Lineage: Eukaryota; Metazoa; Chordata; Mammalia; Rodentia; Sciuridae
Description: tRNA.Ala
Rfam family: tRNA (bases 4-64)
About the family: Transfer RNA (tRNA) molecules are approximately 80 nucleotides in length. Their secondary structure includes four short double-helical elements and three loops (D, anti-codon, and T loops).
Source: RNAcentral